This is a long non-coding RNA of Nyctereutes procyonoides (raccoon dog), 1093 nucleotides long. RefSeq lists it as uncharacterized. The record is from RefSeq and is a predicted model, not a curated record. Lineage: Eukaryota; Metazoa; Chordata; Mammalia; Carnivora; Canidae. The transcript is spliced from 3 exons.
UGCACGCUUUACGGAGCAUGGUUCUGCGCUGCAGAGCGAUGCCAGGGCCGGUGUAAACGCCACGCUGCAAACACUGAAACGAACAGGAGAAAGCGUGUUUUGCAACCAGGUCCUGGUUUCACGGUCAUAUUUGCUGACCCAGCACAUCACGUUAGCUGACUCUGAAUGAAAACAGUUUUGGACAGGAGCGAGUGCCAUAGGUGCUUUCGUUGGAGUGAUUUCGGAGCACCGUUGACCUAGGUUCUCAGUGGGACAUGGUAUUUCCUCCCGUGGCCGUGGAGUGGCCAGUGUCAAAGAAAUGCCGCAUUUCACUUUUUCUGCUCCAUCUGCUUGCUCUGCUGGCUGCAUUUUUAUUUUAUAAGACAACACGAUGUUUUGGUGGAGGGCUACAUAUGCUUUUCCCCCAGAAGUUCCAUGGCAACUUUUACCCAAUCUUCAGAUAUGAGACCUAGUUUUCUAGAAAAAUACCACUGAACACCAAUCUUGGACCAGGAGGGAUGGACCUUACACAGCUCUCGGAAUCACCAUAUUGCUGCAAAACUACAUGGAGUACAACCCUGGGUUUAUAUUUCACAAUUAAAACAUUUAUAAGCCUUACUCUGAAUGGACAUCCCUUCUAGUGGGAGACCUUAAACCAGGGUUCCACCAAAGUCCCCAGAAGCCGAUGACACCACACAGGAGACUGCUUUCACAAGACUCUCAGAACAGCUGCCUGGCAAACGCACAAUGUCUCGGAGAUAUGUCUGGAAAUGCUACUCUGCAGCCAUUGACUUAACAAAUGAUUCGAUCCGUAUAUCAUGAUCCAGCAGCCCUGAGAACAGCUCUGCCUCCAGCUGAAUUUGUGCACAGUGGCCAAAUCUGAGCUGACAACUUUACAUGUGGUGAUCAAAUCUGGACUAACAGUGGUGCAGAUCUGGACAUCUUCAUUGCCUCAUUUCCAAACAUAUUUGUUCCAGCACAAUCUCAUGAUUGUGUUGAAGAAGAGGAGACACUGGCAAUGUUGAACUUUACCUGAGCCCUGAGGGUGAUUCCAGAAAACAGUGGAGGCUAAUCCCCCAAACUUUUGUUCUCCAAAAUCUCCUACCCUUUUGUG